GGCCGACUGGUGUAGUGGUUAUCACGUCUCGUUCACAAAGUUGGACAUAGUUGGAAGUCUUCCACCGAGAAGGUGCCAGGUUCGAUCCCUGGGUCGGUCA
Non-coding RNA from Parathielavia appendiculata, 100 nucleotides. NCBI's taxonomy places the organism in Eukaryota, Fungi, Ascomycota, Sordariomycetes, Sordariales, Chaetomiaceae. The record is from the annotation of a RefSeq genome assembly.